Molecule: ribosomal RNA, 200 nt
Filed under: uncultured bacterium
Lineage: Bacteria
Description: partial 16S ribosomal RNA
Rfam family: Bacterial small subunit ribosomal RNA
Source: RNAcentral
AUUGAACGCUGGCGGAAUGCUUUACACAUGCAAGUCGAACGGCAGCACGGGAGCUUGCUCCUGGUGGCGAGUGGCGAACGGGUGAGUAAUAUAUCGGAACGUAUCCAAUAAUGGGGAUAACUAAGCGAAAGCUUGGCUAAUACCGCAUACGCCCUGGAGGGGGAAAGCGUAGGGAUCUUCGGCCUGGCGUUGAUGGAGCC